RNAcentral lists this unclassified non-coding RNA (414 nucleotides) under Hevea brasiliensis (rubber tree). The record is from RNAcentral. Lineage: Eukaryota; Viridiplantae; Streptophyta; Magnoliopsida; Malpighiales; Euphorbiaceae.
GCUUAGUAUCAUGAAUAGUUAUAUUCCCGUUACUGAUUCGAAACAAGAAAACGAAAUUUCUGAUUAUUACUACGAUUCACCAUCUUCUUCUUCAACUGGAUGUGGAUUGUGUAGUUGUUUAAAUUUUUCAUGUUUCAAUUGGGGCAAAGGCCAUGAAGUUCACAGCAGAUCUCUGCUACAAGAUCAUGAAAAACCAGAGCACAGAGAGUCAUGGCUGGUGAUAUUGAAGAAUUUAUUAAGAAAAAUGAAUAGUAAUUCGAAGAAAUCGAGACCUCAAUUUCAGUAUGAUGCUCAGAGUUAUGCUCUAAAUUUUGAUGAUGGAGCUCGUGAGGAAGAAGAUGGGCUUUUCUGUAAUUUCUCAUCUAGGUUUGCUGUCCCUGUUAUUGCUCAAAAACAGAGCAAAAUUGGUUUGUG